AGUAAACGCUGGCGGUAGGCCUAACACAUGCAAGUCGAACGGCAGCACAGUAAGAGCUUGCUCUUACGGGUGGCGAGUGGCGGACGGGUGAGGAAUACAUCGGAAUCUACUUUUUCGUGGGGGAUAACGUAGGGAAACUUACGCUAAUACCGCAUACGACCUACGGGUGAAAGCAGGGGAUCUUCGGAUCUUGCGCGAUUGAAUGAGCCGAUGUCGGAUUAGCUAGUUGGCGGGGUAAAGGCCCACCAAGGCGACGAUCCGUAGCUGGUCUGAGAGGAUGAUCAGCCACACUGGAACUGAGACACGGUCCAGACUCCUACGGGAGGCAGCAGUGGGGAAUAUUGGACAAUGGGCGCAAGCCUGAUCCAGCCAUACCGCGUGGGUGAAGAAGGCCUUCGGGUUGUAAAGCCCUUUUGUUGGGAAAGAAAAGCAGCAGGUUAAUACCCCGCUGUUCUGACGGUACCCAAAGAAUAAGCACCGGCUAACUUCGUG
RNAcentral lists this ribosomal RNA (492 nucleotides) under uncultured bacterium. Its description in RNAcentral is "partial 16S ribosomal RNA". It matches the Rfam family "Bacterial small subunit ribosomal RNA", at positions 29 to 507 of the family's 1533-position model. The record is from RNAcentral.